CGGAGGAAAAGAAACCAACAGGGAUUGCCUUAGUAGCGGCGAGUGAAGCGGCAAAAGCUCAAAUUUGGAAUCUGCCAGCAAUGGCCGAGUUGUAAUUUGUAGAUGGUAACUCUGUAAGGAGUCUUUGCUCAAGUUUCCUGGAAUGGAAUAUCAUGGAGGGUGACAAUCCCGUGAGGCAUUGACGUACUUGCGUGUAGAGUGCUAUCAAAGAGUCGAGUUGUUUGGGAAUGCAGCUCAAAGUGGGUGGUAGACACCAUCUAAAGCUAAAUAUUGGCGAGAGACCGAUAGCGAACAAGUACUGUGAAGGAAAGAUGAAAAGCACUUUGAAAAGAGAGUGAAAAAGUACGUGAAAUUGUUAAUAUGGAAGGGUAUAAGAUUAGACAUGAAGCUUUGAGUUCGGCAGUCUCUCGGGAUUGUUUUGUCUCUUAGUUUCGCACCAGCAUCAGUUUUGGCAGGAGGAUAAACAACAUGGAAUGUAGCUGCUUGCAGUGUUAUAGACUUGUUGCAUACUCUUUGCCGGGAUUGAGGUCAGCCUUUGUAGGAUGCUGGGGUAAUGAUCUUAUACCACCCG
This 571-nucleotide ribosomal RNA is filed under the name Wickerhamiella natalensis. RNAcentral describes it as "LSU rRNA". It matches the Rfam family "Eukaryotic large subunit ribosomal RNA", at positions 51 to 651 of the family's 3401-position model. The record is from RNAcentral. Lineage: Eukaryota; Fungi; Ascomycota; Dipodascomycetes; Dipodascales; Trichomonascaceae.